RNAcentral lists this ribosomal RNA (72 nucleotides) under Phlebotomus papatasi. RNAcentral's name for it is "partial 28S ribosomal RNA". Lineage: Eukaryota; Metazoa; Arthropoda; Insecta; Diptera; Psychodidae. The record is from RNAcentral.
AAAUCCAAUCAUACCCGAAUACCCCCCGGAAUUUAACCCAUUUAAAAAAGGAGGGAAAAAAAAUCUACCAGG